Molecule: transfer RNA, 74 nt
Filed under: Leontynka pallida
Lineage: Eukaryota; Viridiplantae; Chlorophyta; Chlorophyceae; Chlamydomonadales
Description: tRNA-Met
Rfam family: tRNA
About the family: Transfer RNA (tRNA) molecules are approximately 80 nucleotides in length. Their secondary structure includes four short double-helical elements and three loops (D, anti-codon, and T loops).
Source: RNAcentral
UGCAAGGUAGAGCAGUCUGGUAGCUCGUGGGGCUCAUAAUCCCGAGGACAUUGGUUCAAAUCCAAUCCUUGCAC